CAGUGUAACCUAUCACUAUUUUACUGUGGUAAUGGAGAUGAUGUAUAAACUCCUACUAAUGAUUAUUUCAUCUGUUAGUGGUCAGUCUUUGACCUCCUCAGACUCUGUGGUGAAAAAGCCUGGAGAAUCAGUGACUCUGUCCUGCACUGUGUCUGGAUUCUCAUUCUCCAUCACCAAAGACACCAGCAAAAACAUGCUGUAUUUACAGGUGAAAAGCCUGAAGCCUGAAGACACAGCUGUUUAUUACUGUGCACGACAGUCACAGUUACACAAAAGACUGCAGGACUGA
Non-coding RNA from Sinocyclocheilus rhinocerous, 289 nucleotides. The record is from the annotation of a RefSeq genome assembly. NCBI's taxonomy places the organism in Eukaryota, Metazoa, Chordata, Actinopteri, Cypriniformes, Cyprinidae.